UACGUAGGGGCCUAGCGUUGUCCGGAUUUAUUGGGCGUAAAGAGCUCGUAGGCGGUUCGGUAAGUCAGGUGUGAAAUCUCCACGCUCAACCUGGAGACGCCACUUGAUACUGCUGUGGCUAGAGUCCGGUAGGGGAGCGUGGAAUUCCUGGUGUAGCGGUGAAAUGCGCAGAUAUCAGGAAGAACACCCGUGGCGAAGGCGGCUCUCUGGGACGGUACUGACGCUGAGACGCGAAAGCGUGGGGAGCGAACAGG
Molecule: ribosomal RNA, 254 nt
Filed under: uncultured bacterium
Lineage: Bacteria
Description: partial 16S ribosomal RNA
Rfam family: Bacterial small subunit ribosomal RNA
Source: RNAcentral